AGAGUUUGAUCCUGGCUCAGAACGAACGCUGGCGGCGUGUUUAAGACAUGCAAGUCGCACGGGACAGAAUGAGUAGUAAUACGAUUUCUGUUCAGUGGCGCACGGGUGAGUAACACGUGAAUGACAUGCCCUUCAGUGGGGAAUAGCCCAGGGAAACUUGGAUUAAUACCCCAUGGUAUCGCGAGAUUAAAGGUGGCCAGUAAUGGCUGUCGCUGAAGGAUUGGUUCGCGCCCUAUCAGCUUGUUGGCGGGGUAACGGCCCACCAAGGCUACGACGGGUACCUGGUCUGAGAGGACGAUCAGGCACACUGGAACUGAGACACGGUCCAGACACCUACGGGUGGCAGCAGUCGAGAAUAAUUCACAAUGGGGGCAACCCUGAUGGUGCAACGCCGCGUGGAGGAUGACGGUCUUCGGAUUGUAAACUCCUGUCAUCCGGGAGUAAGACCUGGGAGUGAAUAGCUCACAGGGUUGAUAGUACCGGAAGAGGAAGGGACGGCUAACUUCGUGCCAGCCGCCGCGGUAAUUC
RNAcentral lists this ribosomal RNA (528 nucleotides) under uncultured bacterium. RNAcentral describes it as "bacterial SSU rRNA". It matches the Rfam family "Bacterial small subunit ribosomal RNA", at positions 8 to 526 of the family's 1533-position model. The record is from RNAcentral.